Long non-coding RNA from Helianthus annuus (common sunflower), 650 nucleotides. RefSeq lists it as uncharacterized. The record is from RefSeq and is a predicted model, not a curated record. NCBI's taxonomy places the organism in Eukaryota, Viridiplantae, Streptophyta, Magnoliopsida, Asterales, Asteraceae. The transcript is spliced from 2 exons.
UUAACAAACCAUAGGGACAAAAAGAGUAAUUAACUCUAACUGAAAUCACUCAUCCACCCCUUUUAAUCAACCCAUUACAGACACGUGGAUCUUUCUUACAUCUCAUCAUCUUCUUCAUACAAUGAUGUUGUAGAGCCUGCAAAUAGGGAUGUGGGCGUUCCCAAACCUCUUGAUUGUUUGUAGGGGACACCGGUCCCGCCUUUUUUGUCGAAAACUUACGAUUUGGUGGAUGAUCCCAGAGAAAAAUGCAUAUUUGCUUGCAGAUCAAAUUGAUCUAUUCUUCGAACUCCAUAAGCUCUUUUCGAAUUUUCAAGUUUUUUAUUUGAAGAUUCAACUCAAUUGAAGUGCCGACCUGCAACUUGCCGGAAAAACAAAGUUGAAGGUUCACGCGCGAAAAUCGAGGGUGGUUCAGAUUUGGUCGUAUAACCACCCCCAUACCACAAAACACUCGUUUUGGUUCAGCUUGGGGUGGCGUCUAAACACUGGUAGUGCGGUGGGCACCGGAGACGAACCGGCCGAUGGAGAGCAUCGGACCAGUGGAGCUGUGGAGAAGAUGGGGUAAUGAUGAAGAGAAUUGUGGGUCCCACUUGAUUUAAAUAUAUUUUUUUUUACAUUUGAGUUAUUAUUUAAUAACAAGGGCAUUUUAGUAA